CCUACGGGAGGCAGCAGUGGGGAAUCUUCCGCAAUGGGCGAAAGCCUGACGGAGCAACGCCGCGUGAUCGAAUGAAGGCCUUCGGGUUGUAAAGAUCUGUUGACAGGGAUGAAUAAGCAAUGCGAAUAGUUUUGUGUAUGACGGUACCUGUUUAGAAAGCUCCGGCAAACUCCGUGCCAGCAGCCGCGGUAAUACGGAGGAUGCGAGCGUUAUCCGGAUUUAUUGGGUUUAAAGGGUGCGUAGGCGGAAUAUCAAGUCAGCGGUAAAAAUUCGGGGCUCAACCCCGUCGUGCCGUUGAAACUGAUGUUCUUGAGUGGGCGAGAAGUAUGCGGAAUGCGAGGUGUAGCGGUGAAAUGCAUAGAUAUCACGCAGAACUCCGAUUGCGAAGGCAGCAUACCGGCGCCCAACUGAAGCUGAAGCACGAAAGCGUGGGUAUCGAACAGGAUUAGAUACCCGGGUAGUC
This 463-nucleotide ribosomal RNA is filed under the name uncultured bacterium. RNAcentral describes it as "partial 16S ribosomal RNA". It matches the Rfam family "Bacterial small subunit ribosomal RNA", at positions 338 to 795 of the family's 1533-position model. The record is from RNAcentral.